AGAAAAUUAGCAAACAUGAAUAAAUGGCGAAAACAAUAUAAUUAUAACAUAUAUUUUUAUUUUACUUAUUUUAGGUCUGUGAAGCCAAACUUGAUGCUGGGGAUUUAUUUUUGUCAGUGGAGUCAAAUGGUCUAGAUGAUCACAUCUGUCUUUGUCAUUUAAAUGAGGUGGACUUGCAAACUUUGCGCUCUUUUGGAUUUCAAGACAGAGCUUAUUGUUCUCUGAACUUCCUUGUUUGCUGAACGGCAGGUAAAGUGCAUCUUUUUGUUUGUUUGCUUUUGUGUGUUUGUUUUCUCUAAUGGGCCUCAGAUGACUGUUUGCUUAAAUUUGGGUCUCAAAGAAUCUUUUUUUUUAUUCUGCCUGUACUCUCCACCCCUCUUCCUCUGUUGCUCAGGUUAAAGCAGAAUUUGCCCGUCUUACAUCUGUUGACCUGAAAGGGUUCCUUUUUGCUGUGCUUGACCAUUAUGGAGAGGUUCGUGGAGCUGUACAAAAUCAAGAGCGGCAUAGGAGGGCUAACUAGGCUCAUAAGAUGCUUCGGUGAUGAUAGCCCUACACAAAGGAAGAGCACAGAGGACCUCAUUUUCUAAAGGAAGAUCCCUCACACACUUUCAAGACUGUGAAGCCAACAGGUGUUGAAGACACAUUUUCUAAGAGGAUGAAAGUUGGCAUUGCGAUGGUGAAAGAAGAAGACAUCAUCGAUGUGUUGGUUGUCCUUGAGGCGGCAGUAAUCCUGUCUAAUCUGAGGGAUGUCUCAAGUGCCAUUUCCAUGCUGAUGGGCCUUCUUUUGCCCUCAACAUAGACUAUCCAAAGGAACUUAAGGACAUCUUUGAAGUCAUUCAGAACAUCCUAAUGAACAUUGGUGGAAGGCAGUGCAUCUCACUAGUGCAUGGUUUAAGAAACAGACUCUUGCAGAAAGCCAUGCAGAACUGUA
Long non-coding RNA from Oreochromis aureus, 931 nucleotides. The record is from Ensembl. Lineage: Eukaryota; Metazoa; Chordata; Actinopteri; Cichliformes; Cichlidae.